GUGGCGACGGUGUGGGUGCAGGCGCUGACGGGGACAAACUUCGACUUCUCGGCCUACUCGUCGGCGCUCAAGGCCUCCAUGGGUGUCUCCCAGCAGUCGCUCAACUACCUGGCCACCGCCUCCGACCUCGGCAAGGCGUUCGGCUGGUCGUCGGGGCUGGCGCUGCUCUACAUGCCGCUGCCGGCGGUGCUGUUCCUGUCCGCCGCGCUCGGCCUCGCCUCCUACGCGCUCCAGUACGGCAUCCACCGCCACGCCAUGACUCACGGACGAGGCUGGCUCGUCACCACCAGGAGCUCCGGCUCGGGGGAAAGGGUCGCCGGCCUGGGAGGGGAUUGGGGAGAGUCGCCGGCUCAGGGGGAGGGUCGCCGGCCUGGGAGGGGAGGGGGGUCGCCGGCUCUGGAGGGGAGGGAGGUCGCCGGCUCGGGACGGGAGACAUAG
Molecule: ribosomal RNA, 438 nt
Filed under: Triticum aestivum (bread wheat)
Lineage: Eukaryota; Viridiplantae; Streptophyta; Magnoliopsida; Poales; Poaceae
Description: partial small subunit ribosomal RNA
Source: RNAcentral